CUGGUUAAAUGAUCCCGCAUCCUACAUAUAUUGCCAGACUCAUUUUGCUGAUCCAAACGUUUAUGUAUGAACUCUCGUAAGCAGUGCACAUGCAAAGAUUACCGCUUCAUAAUGUAUUUAUUAAUUACUCUAGAAAAACACUUAGAUCCACAAACAGCCGGCACUGGAAUUUCAGGCGAUUUGGAAGAAGGGAAGGAAGAGUCAGUACGACUUUUAGCGGACAUUACCUAAGUUUCUUGUCCAGAUGACCAAUUUUACGCUGUUCGAUGGUAACGGGAAUCCUAUGUUAAUGAUGAUCUCCGGGGGCGGAUACACGGGCUGUUGUUGGUGGCAGUGGAUAGACGCUAGGUGUCAGCAUGCCGUGCCCGUUAGAAAAUCCGUACCCAUGCGCGGUGUCAAUUGCGCCAAAGGUGGAUUAUGAAAGGUGCAGGAAUUUGGUGGCUUUGUCUAGAGUUAGUGCUUUCGGAUAUGAAAAUAAUAAAACCAGGAUGUAAAACAAAAAUUAUCUACCUUUUCAUCCAUCUAUAAAAAAUAUUUUUAUAUUUGCACUAUGGAGAAACUAACAAAUUACACGCCUCGUAUGCUAAGAAUAUCAUCGAUUCGAUUAAAAUUAUUACACUAACAGCACAGUGAAUGAGGAGGUGCCGCUGAAGUGAGUUCACAUCCGAGGAGAUCUGCUUGAUCGUUUUCCAACCGAAUUCGAACGCCGACGCAACUACUGGAAAACUGCCUACUUUAUCUUUUUGAGUCGACCGGAUUCUUAGGCCGGUUCCUUGGCCAGACGCUUUACUUCGUUUUGCCAAAAUUCUCAAUCGUACCGACCAUGACCAAAAGGCAAUCUCCGUCAGUCGGUCGAGUUUGCCGUUCAUGAACAUGGUGUAAACCUUGAUAAUGUUCUCUUUGUUCACCAGCUUGCCGGCAUAGCCCGUGAACACUUCUGUGACCUGAAACGCCUGUAAUUCGAAACGCUAGAAACGGCACAUCAUGCGCACAGCACAUCAUAUUAUGAGCGCAUUACAACACAGCGCUUGAAGUACGCGACUGUGCGGAAAGUUUUACGUGGACGUGGAAAAAAUGGAGACCAAACCUCAAGUGCUCAAAGAGCGGACAGGGCUCAAAAACUCAAAGCGCAUAGCACGUUAAGAGCACAAAAAGCGCACCGUUCUCGUAGACCAAACUGUGCGAAAAGUGCUAGCACAAUGCACUAUGUGCAACACUACGAACAGCUCAUUCAUUGUCAGGAUGGGAAUUAUUUCUUGGAGCGUCCUGUAGUUCUACAGGAUCUGCUGCACGCCACGGUAAAUGUUAUAAUGCCCAGCGUCGGUGAUGUAUUGGGUUCAUUAUACGCGAUAUCGAAUCCAGUGGAUUCACAGCCAAGUAGAUGCUUAUCUCGGCGAUGGCAUGCAACAGCAUGGUGACAUCAAAGCGAGCAAAUGUGGUAGUCAAAACUAGAUCGGUCAGAGAAUCAGCCGGCACAUCAAAUGGCCUGCACCGUCGUAAUCGUGGCAAUGCACUCCUGUAUACAUCCAGCGUUGGUUAGUAACCGACAGCGAGCGGGUAUCCUUUGAAACCGGCAAAACUCGGAGAAACAGCUACAUCACACGGUAGAAGCUGUUGAAACGCAAUCUAACUAAGCUGGAAAAACUUCACGCGAGCUUAUUACAUUAUAAACCGUUCCUAAAAAUAGCAAAUAAUAAUGUUUAUCAAUCAAUCGAGUGAAAGAAAGAAGCAAAACUUACCAUGAAUUAAGUAUGAGUGCUAAGUAUGACACCAGCAUCCAACGUUGGUGCAUGGUUCCAAAAUAUGAAGCCGUUACUUCGAUCCCAUUCUACGUGUGCUUCGACUUGCUGAUAUGUUAAAUGGUAUGAAACACGAACCGUUUGCAAUUUUAUCUCCUAGCUUCGAAUAACAAACCAAACCGUUUUCCGCUUGCUAUGCCUCUUGAAAUGUAAAUAUUAAACACACAUCAACAACAAUCGUUCUCCAAGCCCAAGGUGUAUGGAGACCAGGCUGCUCAUAGCCUGUUUUUUAAUUUCCAAAUUUGUACGACACAUCUUAAUAUUAGUGACUUAAUAGAAUGGCAUAUUAUGAUUGAAACCCGUAACCGUUUAAAUAGACUUAAAGCGACAACGUUUUUUGCGACAAUUUCGCUCACGUUUUUGGUGAAUUGCAUUGAUAAAUUUGACACCGAGUAGAUCAAAGUAGCUCAGUUUACCCAAUCAACCUGCUUGUUUUUUGUUAAAAAAAAACAUAAAAAACAUGUCGAAUUGUGCUCAAUUUUAUUUUUCUUUUAGUAUGGCAUUAAUCUGGCUAGAACAAACUGGAUAAUUUGAUUCUAUUUGGUGCAGCAAAAUUAUUGCGCUAGGCAAGUAGCUCUGUUUGCAAAAUUGGGCUACUUUCUGUCACACUGCUUCUAGACGACCCACAAAAUCUUCCGCGACAAUUUUUGCGAGCUCUUUGUUCUAAAACAACUUCUCAGUUUUAGAACUAAAUCAGAGGCAACCGUGAUUGUCGCGGGUUUGUGAAUUUUUCACAGAAAGGCAACGCUCGCGGCAUCCUUGCAUGUGCACUGCUUACGAGAGUUCAUACAUAAACGUUUGGAUCAGCAAAAUGAGUCUGGCAAUAUGUGUAGGAUGCGGGAUCAUUUAACCAGCUAGCAGAACCGAUUACUGCUUGUAAUCAUAUGCACAUGGUUAAUAAAACACCACUCGCCCGCGCCACGUAUAUUCUAAGUCUAUCACGAUAAUAAAAUACCAAAAAAUCACGACAAACUGAUUGACCAGGAGUUGGUUACCAAAAUAUCACCAAUCAGAUCAGACGUCACAACGACCAUGUGCGUCUUACCCCUGAUCAUCGCACAUGUGUACGUGAACCGAAAUGCAUUUCAGUUCAAUCACGAGUGCUCGUGAUAGAACCAGUGACAUUUCGAAAUUGAUCACAUACAAACAAAGUCACGUCAAAAUGACCGACCAAGAGGUGGUUGCUGCAAUGUCACCAAUCUGGUCACACGUCACAACGACUAUGUUCAUCUUGCGUCUGAUCAUCGCACUUGUGUACGUGAGCUGAUUUGAGGUUUGUUUCAGUCAUGAGCGUUGGUGACUGAAACAGUGAUAUUUUACAGUGGUGCUCCUGGUUCAGAAAAUUUCAUAAGAAAGUGAUUGACUAAAAGUUUAUUCCCAAAUUGUCACCAAUCAUAUCACUCGUUACAACCACUUGAGAAUUUCACCUGUGAUAAUCGCAAUUGAGUACGUGACGCUGACAAUGUUUUUGAUUCACUCAGUUUUUUUGUGAUAUUGAUGGUGACAUUUUGCAGCACUGGUGCGGAGCACACAAUAACUGUGCGGAGCACACAAACUGUGCGGAGCACAGAAACUGCGGAGCACACAAUAACUGUGCGGAGCACACAAACUGUGCAAACUGUGUGGUAGCUGUGCGGAGCACAAAAAGUGUGCAAAGCACACUAACUGUGCGAUAACACAGUAUGCAACUGUGCAAAAUCUGUGCGGGAACACAGCUACUGUGCGACCACACAUUAAGUGUGGUACCACGCACACACAGCACAGUAGACUGUGCGUGGUGCCACAGCACCACACAGUGAAAAGUGGUACUUGACUCAUCACUAGCAAUAGUGCAAGUAUGGAAAAUGCAGUGGAGUGCGAUCGAUGCGAAGGAAUGUUUCAUAUCGCGUGCGUGAACGAAGAUGAAACCGUGUACAGCAGGGAUUGGACAUGCCAUCUGUGCACUCCUGAAACACCGCCCUCGCUUCAUCUAACCUUCAUCGUGCGACGCCCGCGUUAGCGACCCAAACAGCCCAGGUAGCAGUGGAUACGAACAUAGUGAAUCUGAAACCAUCCACCAGAGCAAGAUCGACGGAAGUGAUCUCGCCUAUAUCGAACCCUCCAAAUGAUCCAUCGAAAGCAAUACCCAUUCAAACUGCUAAUUUUCAAUUGGACAAUCUUAGCAGAACCUUCCAAAGUUUCUUGGAAGAAGCACGCGAGCCACGUAGGCAAGAGCCUGACGUGAUACAACGGCUCGAAUCCGUGCUCAACACCUUUGUUCAACGGAUGAAUCAAGAACAAAAUCCGCAAGGAUCACGCUGGGACAAUCUCGGAUCUACGGCGUCAUGUUCGAGUGAUACAACCUUGAACGUUCGCCGGUAACCCAGAGGAGUGGUCCGUGUUCGAAAACGCGUUUUAUGAGACGACGGAACUAUGUGGUUUCUCAGACGGUGAAAAUAUUAUAAGGCUGCAACAAGCAUUAAAAGGAGAAACAUUUAAAACAGUCCAAGUGAGACUCAGGAAAACAGCCACCCUCUUGGCAGAAAUCGCCUCUACACUCUGUCUCUCGCUACCCCCGCUCUACACUUGCGAGCAAUCAUGCGACACUCUCGCACACUUCCACACGUCUCCACCCCUAAACGCUCCCUUCGUUGAGGUGUUAAGCAAAAAUUCGCUCUGACAGUAUCAAUAAACGAUGCGCAAUCUCAGAUUGCGCAUAUAUUUAUCUGUCAAACGCAUUGGUUUGAUGUAUUUAUCUGUCAAAAAAUAUUUACAUAUCUCGGACAUAUAAUAUUGAAAAUAUAUGCGCAAUCUUGGCGCAAUCUCAAAUUGAAUGGAAAUGACGUUUAUAGCUCAGGGUUGGCUUCGCCAUAUGAUAUAUUUUUUUACAAAACGAAUAUAUGCGCAAUCUGAGAUUGCGCAUCGUGUUUUAAUACGGUGAGAUUGAGAGACACAUACGCACUCCACCAACCCCCCAAUGACCGAUUGCUCCCUUCAUUGAGAUGAUGUUACAUCUGUGUGUGAGAUCCUCGCUCUCAUUCCGCCAUGCCUUACCAACCUACUUCAUGCAGCAAUGCUUCCACAUUUGCGGUGUUGGUAAAAUUUUCAAUCUGAUGAGAGAGCGAAAGAAACUAUGGGCGGAUCAUAGUUCUAAUUGGCAAAACAGAAAUAAAACUGAUAAGCAUAAUCUAAUGAAAUUUACUACAACACACAAUAAUUUACAAUUAUUUUAAGAGGUAUGAUGAUUCAAUAAAUUUUUGUUGUGUUUUAAAUCUUUUUUUUUUCCUGGCAAUUUAAAGUUGUACACAAAACUAUUCUAAAUAUUUGAAGCUAAAAUUGAAGCAGUCCCAUAGUGAUAAAAGUUGUUUUCUUCAUCUGCGGUUCGCCUCCCUCGUUUGACAAAUAUCAGUGUUGACAAAAAUUGGCUUGGUUUGGUUCGGUGAAAUUCUUGAGUGAUUUAUGUGUUAAACUAAUAUUAUUUCAAUAAAGUAUAGUUUAAUUUGCUUGUGCAUACCGCGUAUAUAAGUGCGGUUAUCAAUAUUUAACUUUAUUGACUUAUAGCGUCAGUGUGUGCGCAAGCGUAAAGUUGUUAAAUUGGGUUAAAUUAGCAGGAUCCAAAAAUGGCCUCGAAAAAAUGCGUCGAUAUGGCACUUUCUCGAAAAGAAGAAGGAAAAUUAUGGAUGAAUUGGACCGCGAAGCUGAAGAGGAGUGACGGCAAGCUCAAAUUGCUGGUCCAAGUGGAAUAUCUGCUAUGCUGAAUCUAAUCGUUGAAGGAAAGUUACUUUAUACAUAAAUUUGUGAUAAGUUCCCCAAAUCGUACCGAGGACUGCGAAGCGCUUCCGAACGUUUCCAUUCCGGUCCUGAUUCCCGCUGUAUCAAACUGAAAGUUCCGGUCUGAGCCGGCUGAAGCCGCUAGUGGGCAGCUAAGCCGGUAGACCGUAGCCGGCGCCGUUAGAACCGUGGGAGCCGUCUGAAGCCGUUUGGAGCCAUUUGGAACCGUUCAGAGCCGUUUGUCGGCUGUUGCGGCCGGUUCUGAACAACUACGACGGCUCAUAAUAACUCAUCCGGUUGUUCUUGAAUUUACCUGUCACUAAUAUUAAACUGUUUAGAAAACAAAAUAUGAAAUUAAUAAUAUUUCACAGACGAACCAUUAAGCAAGAGCCCAGCUCAAAUAGAUUCUAACAGCUUUGCCGAAACAGAUCAUCAAUCUCAAGAUACAUUCCGUGGUGGUGAAGAUGUUGGCCAUAGUGAUACAGUAUUGGAUGCAAAUGCUGAGAAUUUUUUGCUGGAUGAUAACGUCGAAAUCGCGGAUCACGACGUGGAAGAUGUGUAUGUAGAGAGAGACAGCACAUACAGUUUUUUCGACAAUAUCACCCUCAAGGAAGGUCUGCGUUAUAUUGCUAUAACGAAAAAUCUACCACGGUCCACAAUAAACAUGCUGUUGGCACUGCUUUGCAGGAAGCUUAAGCUUAGACUUCCAGCAGAUGCGCGGACUUUAUUGAAAACGCCAACCCAAGUAGGCUUAGAAAUUCAACCUGUCUUGGGCGGGCAUUUCUGGUAUCAGGGAAUAGAAUAUGUGCUGAUGACACAUUUUAAGUUAGUAAAAAAUACGUUAUUAUUUUCUUUUUUUCAACUAAGUCUUCCAAUAAAAAAUAUACUCUUUAUCAUUACCGUAAUACUA
Molecule: long non-coding RNA, 6459 nt
Organism: Anopheles gambiae (African malaria mosquito)
Lineage: Eukaryota; Metazoa; Arthropoda; Insecta; Diptera; Culicidae
Exons: 2
Source: RefSeq, a predicted model, not a curated record